CGAUGAAGCCCUUCGGGGUGGAUUAGUGGCGAACGGGUGAGUAACACGUGGGCAAUCUGCCCUUCACUCUGGGACAAGCCCUGGAAACGGGGUCUAAUACCGGAUACCACUCCUGCCUGCAUGGGCGGGGGUUGAAAGCUCCGGCGGUGAAGGAUGAGCCCGCGGCCUAUCAGCUUGUUGGUGGGGUAAUGGCCCACCAAGGCGACGACGGGUAGCCGGCCUGAGAGGGCGACCGGCCACACUGGGACUGAGACACGGCCCAGACUCCUACGGGAGGCAGCAGUGGGGAAUAUUGCACAAUGGGCGAAAGCCUGAUGCAGCGACGCCGCGUGAGGGAUGACGGCCUUCGGGUUGUAAACCUCUUUCAGCAGGGAAGAAGCGAAAGUGACGGUACCUGCAGAAGAAGCGCCGGCUAACUACGUGCCAGCAGCCGCGGUAAUACGUAGGGCGCAAGCGUUGUCCGGAAUUAUUGGGCGUAAAGAGCUCGUAGGCGGCUUGUCACGUCGGAUGUGAAAGCCCGAGGCUUAACCUCGGGUCUGCAUUCGAUACGGGCUAGCUAGAGUGUGGUAGGGGAGAUCGGAAUUCCUGGUGUAGCGGUGAAAUGCGCAGAUAUCAGGAGGAACACCGGUGGCGAAGGCGGAUCUCUGGGCCAUUACUGACGCUGAGGAGCGAAAGCGUGGGGAGCGAACAGGAUUAGAUACCCUGGUAGUCCACGCCGUAAACGUUGGGAACUAGGUGUUGGCGACAUUCCACGUCGUCGGUGCCGCAGCUAACGCAUUAAGUUCCCCGCCUGGGGAGUACGGCCGCAAGGCUAAAACUCAAAGGAAUUGAC
This 832-nucleotide ribosomal RNA is filed under the name Streptomyces sp. MZ2637K. Its description in RNAcentral is "bacterial SSU rRNA". It matches the Rfam family "Bacterial small subunit ribosomal RNA", at positions 67 to 914 of the family's 1533-position model. The record is from RNAcentral. Lineage: Bacteria; Bacillati; Actinomycetota; Actinomycetes; Kitasatosporales; Streptomycetaceae.